GGCAGUGCUGGCUUGACGGUUCAGGCUUUGGGUUACUGAUCAGAAGGUCGGGGGUUCAAGCCCCAGCACUGCCA
Molecule: non-coding RNA, 74 nt
Organism: Ameiurus melas (black bullhead)
Lineage: Eukaryota; Metazoa; Chordata; Actinopteri; Siluriformes; Ictaluridae
Source: the annotation of a GenBank genome assembly